This 214-nucleotide long non-coding RNA is filed under the name Helianthus annuus (common sunflower). RNAcentral's name for it is "hypothetical non coding rna". The record is from RNAcentral. Lineage: Eukaryota; Viridiplantae; Streptophyta; Magnoliopsida; Asterales; Asteraceae.
GAUCGUAAUGGACACAUCAAAGUUCAAACACAAGAUAAGCUUUUAAAAGUGUUUCCGGGAAGAACUCAAGAACGCAAAUGGAUCACCUACAAGCGAGAAGAGAAGAAUUAGUGCGCACGUUUAUUAAUCGAAUAUCUUAAGUUUAGUUCUAAAAAUAUAGACCAAAAGUUACUGCACAAUAAAUUACUUAUGCUCAUAAUCCCACUCCUAACAC